UUUCCGGCGGGGGGAGGGGGUUAACCUGCAAGUCGAACGAUGAACCACUUCGGUGGGGAUUAGUGGCGAAGGGGUGAGUAACACGUGGGCAAUUUGCCCUUCACUCUGGGACAAGCCCUGGAAACGGGGUUUAAUACCGGAUAUCACUUUUGCAGGCUUCUGUGAGGGUUGAAAGCUCCGGCGGUGAAGGAUGAGCCCGCGGCCUUUCAGCUUGUUGGUGAGGUAAUGGCUCACCAAGGGGACGACGGGUAGCCGGCCUGAGAGGGCGACCGGCCACCCUGGGACUGAGACCCGGCCCAGAUUCCUACGGGAGGCAGCAGUGGGGAAUAUUGCACAAUGGGCGAAAGCCUGAUGCAGCGACGCCGCGUGAGGGAUGACGGCCUUCGGGUUGUAAACCUCUUUCAGCAGGGAAGAAGCGAAAGUGACGGUACCUGCAGAAGAAGCGCCGGCUAACUACGUGCCAGCAGCCGCGGUAAUACGUAGGGCGCAAGCGUUGUCCGGAAUUAUUGGGCGUAAAGAGCUCGUAGGCGGCUUGUCACGUCGGGUGUGAAAGCCCGGGGCUUAACCCCGGGUCUGCAUUCGAUACGGGCUAGCUAGAGUGUGGUAGGGGAGAUCGGAAUUCCUGGUGUAGCGGUGAAAUGCGCAGAUAUCAGGAGGAACACCGGUGGCGAAGGCGGAUCUCUGGGCCAUUACUGACGCUGAGGAGCGAAAGCGUGGGGAGCGAACAGGAUUAGAUACCCUGGUAGUCCACGCCGUAAACGGUGGGAACUAGGUGUUGGCGACAUUCCACGUCGUCGGUGCCGCAGCUAACGCAUUAAGUUCCCCGCCUGGGGAGUACGGCCGCAAGGCUAAAACUCAAAGGAAUUGACGGGGGCCCGCACAAGCAGCGGAGCAUGUGGCUUAAUUCGACGCAACGCGAAGAACCUUACCAAGGCUUGACAUACACCGGAAACGGCCAGAGAUGGUCGCCCCCUUGUGGUCGGUGUACAGGUGGUGCAUGGCUGUCGUCAGCUCGUGUCGUGAGAUGUUGGGUUAAGUCCCGCAACGAGCGCAACCCUUGUCCUGUGUUGCCAGCAUGCCCUUCGGGGUGAUGGGGACUCACAGGAGACCGCCGGGGUCAACUCGGAGGAAGGUGGGGACGACGUCAAGUCAUCAUGCCCCUUAUGUCUUGGGCUGCACACGUGCUACAAUGGCAGGUACAAUGAGCUGCGAAACCGUGAGGUGGAGCGAAUCUCAAAAAGCCUGUCUCAGUUCGGAUUGGGGUCUGCAACUCGACCCCAUGAAGUCGGAGUUGCUAGUAAUCGCAGAUCAGCAUUGGUGCGGGUGAAUACUUUCCCGGGCCUUGUACACACCGCCCGUCACUUCACGAAAGUCGGUAACACCCGAAGCCGGUGGCCCAACCCGUUCGCGGGAGGGAGCUUCGAAGGGG
RNAcentral lists this ribosomal RNA (1429 nucleotides) under Streptomyces sp. RNAcentral's name for it is "bacterial SSU rRNA". It matches the Rfam family "Bacterial small subunit ribosomal RNA". The record is from RNAcentral. Lineage: Bacteria; Bacillati; Actinomycetota; Actinomycetes; Kitasatosporales; Streptomycetaceae.